Molecule: long non-coding RNA, 1009 nt
Organism: Ceratitis capitata (Mediterranean fruit fly)
Lineage: Eukaryota; Metazoa; Arthropoda; Insecta; Diptera; Tephritidae
Exons: 2
Source: RefSeq, a predicted model, not a curated record
AUUUAAGUAAAAAGCGUGCUGUAUUGUUGUUUGUUGUUGUAUAUUUUAUUUCAAAUAUUUGCGAAUAUUUUUGAAAUGCGUGCGCUGCAUAAUUCCUCAUUAGAAGCAAAAUGUUUAAUUUUAAAUACAUACAUACAUACAAAUAUUGUUUCGUCCUUUUAAGCAACUAUUUUAUUUUAAUUUUAAAUUAAUAUACAUACAUACAUAAUAUAUACAAACUCAAACGCACAUACCUACAAACAUAGAUAAAUAAAUAAAGCAGAAGCGUAAGAAGAAUUCAAAUGGAGGAGCUGUCUGUCUGUCGUCUUACAUACAAAUAUAUAUAGUAGUUGAAAAGUAGAACAAAAACAAAAACCUCAACGGCUGAAGUUGCGUUUAAAAAUAAAAAGGCCCAAUUUCAUCGAAGGAUAAAUAGAAUUUAAGUGCCCCCCCCCCCCCCCCAGCAAAUAAACCAACAACAAAAAAGAAGUACACAAGAGAAAUUAAUGAUAUAACAAAAUUCAGUAGCAACUCAGAUUUUGCACAAUUAGAAAACAAAAACAAAAACUCAUGAAGAAACGAAAAUAAAUGUGAAAAUUGUUAAAUAAAAAAAAGCUUUAAUGUAAAAAAAAAAUUGAAUUGAAACGAAAUUUGUAAAACUUAAAACAAUUUAUAUCCAGAAAGUUUUGUUUGGAUUCUAAUGUGUUAAGAUUUCUUUUUUUAAAACAUUUUUUAAGCCCCUGCUUUAAGUUAUAUAUGUAUGUAUAUUUUGAAAAACCAAACAAACAUAUAUUAAUAAUAAAAAAGAAACACACACAAAUUUAAAACAAAAAACUUAAACAAAAACAUACUUUUAAUAAGACAAACACACACACAUGGACACACAUAGAAAAUAACAACAAAAAUUUAACCAACCGUAUGUAAAUCCACCAAACCGUAUUGUAUUAUUGUAGCGAUUUUCAUAUUUAGAGAAGCAAAAACAAAAAACAAAAACGAGAAAAAACAUUUAAAUCUGCAUUCUUUGCAAAAA